Brassica rapa (field mustard) is the source of this 5306-nucleotide long non-coding RNA. RefSeq lists it as uncharacterized. Lineage: Eukaryota; Viridiplantae; Streptophyta; Magnoliopsida; Brassicales; Brassicaceae. The record is from RefSeq and is a predicted model, not a curated record.
AUUCAAAAAAAAUUCAAAUUUUUUUUUAUAAGAAAGUUCGAAUUUGAAAAUAUAUAAUUCAAAAACGUAAAAAAAAUAUUAUUUUUUAUUUUUUAUCUAUUACUUAUUUAAAUAAUGAUUUAUUAUAUAUAUAGAUAACAAAUGUAUAAGAGUCUUUUUGCCACAUAAUGAAGAUUUGAAAAUGUUCAUUUAGUAGUGGUAAAUAUGAAAAGUGGUAACAUGAAAGUGGUAAACAUAAAUUUUCUCCAUAAUAUAGGAACUUGAUUAGGUUUAUCCUUAUAUUGAGUAAUAAACUUAAAUAUAGCUUUAUUUAUUUAACUAUAUAUUAAAAGUAUAAAUAUUUAUAAUUGAUAUGAUAUAAAUAUUAUUAAAAUAUCUAAAAAUCAUGUCAAAAUGUAAAUAUCUAUACUAAAUUGAUCAUAUUACAAUAAUCUUAAUAUCAUGUAAUAAAUUUUGAAAACAAUCUCUUAUAUAUUAAAAGAGAAACAUUACAACCUUUUAUCUAUGACACGUGUCAUCACUAUAAUGACUUUUAGUAUAAAUAGAGAAUUAAGUUGGUCUAUCUAAACAGAUAAUAUAUUUUUUAUUAAGCUAAACAUAAAUUAGUUAUUAAUGUACAAAAGGAUAUUUUCACUCUUUCCUUAAAUAAAAAUUACAGAGUCACAUAAUAUGUUUAAAAUAUGUAUUGUAAUUAUUAAUUUUGAAUAUAAAGAUUUGGUAACAAUUUUUAUAUCGUUCACCAUUUUUUAAUAUUAUAUUAUUAAAAUAAAUUACACCAUCAUAUUCACCAUAUAAUAAAAAUAUAAUUUAUUUCGUAUAUGUUAAAUUUAGAAUUUUAAAUUAUUCAAAAUUACUAAUAUUUUUAUAAGUCUCACAUUAAAAAUUUGUGAUCAAUGUUUUAAAUUUGUGUUAUAAAGAGAUAUAAAUGAUGAUAAAAUAUGAAUAGAAAUUCUCAUUUAAAAUUUAUUUAUAUUAAAAGUAUAUAUAUUUUAAUAUUCUUUAAAGUAAAUUAUAUACCAAAUACAUAAAUAUUUUAGUUCUUAAAUUUGCAUUGAACAAGUAUGAAGAACUUAAUAUUUUAAUUUUGAAAUAUUCUUUAAAUUUUUUAAUUCGUGUUUAAAUUACGAAAAUUAUGAAAAUUCCACAUUGAAUUUUUUUUCCAGUAGUUUAAGAGUUUGUUAUAAAAAAUACAAAUUAUCAUAUUAAAAGUGUACUAUAUAUAUAUGUUAUUAUCAUUUAAAUUUAACUAUAUACCAUAGAAAAUUAGAUUAAUAUAAUUGUUUUGAUUUGUUUAUUAUAAAAAUUUGUAAAUAAAAAGAGUCAUUAUAUUUAUUUAUGUGUUUGGGCCAAUUAACUAUAUAUGUAAUAGUUAUUUUCUUCUCAAAUAUAAAAUAUAUAUUUAUUAUUUUAUAAUAUGUAAAAUGUAAAAUAAAUAAUAGUUCACGUAUAAAGAUUUGUAUACCGGAUGCUCGUUCUGCGCAAGGCGCAAAUCUUAACCUAGUAUUAUCUAUUUAUAUAAAAUAGAGUUUGCUCCACAUAGAAUUCCAGCUAGAUAAAUCAAAGCUUCUGGUGUCGACACGUGUCCAAUAUUGAGAACUCACCGUUUCAUUAAUCGUUAUUCAUUUGGGCCGCAAAAACAUCAAAGUUCCAGUGUUCGUCUCUCUUCUCUGUCCGGCCGCGACCUCUGAACUUCAUCACUGAAUCUGAAGCGGUCAGAGUUAUGUGUUUUUCGUGUGGUGUUAAAGCCUUAUUAAUUCAAUCUCCAUCAAUCAUCAAUCAUCUUCACCACCCUUAGCAUUCAGAAGUGGAUCUCCCAGAUUCCUUUUAUCUCUGUACGUUCUUAUUUAUUUGUUCAUUCCCAUAAAUCUACUUCUACUUCCUGUCUCCAUAUGUUUUACGGAUCCUUUGUUAAAUUAUGUCAUAAAGGAUUGAUCUUUUUCUUCUUAGUGAGCAUGUGUGUGUAUCUGAUCUUAUUUUCUUGUGUCGAUCUGUUCUUAUGUCUCGAUUGCUAAUUGAAAUCCAAAGCGUCACACUUUGUCCUCUUGAUCUGCUGUUCUGAGUACUUUUGAGCUGAUCUGAAUUUCUUUUGUUUAUUUAGACCAAUUGAAGUCGAGUUCUUCUGAUUGUAAAAUCAGGAACCUAGGGAGAGUGAGAAGCUACAUUGCCUUAUACCAGCACCUAAAGCAUAUGUUACGCUUCUCUCUUGGCCCAAGAGUAUAGAUUAUGUGCCUUAUGAAGAGAUGACAGCAAACAAGAGGCUACGUUCUGAAUGUGAAGGUAACGAGAGGUGUUGAUAAGGCUGAGGGAGAACUCAGUCAACAAGAGAUCUAUGUUAACGCUAGCUCAUAUGCUUUGUCGAUUGCUUUAAUCGGUGUUGGAGACGGGCGAUGGGAAGACAUGAGGAAGUUCGACGACAAGAUCCCUAAGCGUGAAUUUGACAACUUUAAGUUUGUGAAUUUCACAGAGAUCAUGAAGAGAGAUUCAUCAGAGUCAGCCAAAGAAGCUGCAUUUGCUCUUGCUGCUCUAAUGGAGAUUCCCUUUCAGUAUCAAGCAGCAACUGACUCAGCCUACAAACAAUAAACAAAGGAAAGAGUAUUUUGAAAUAUCAAAAAGUAAACCUUCAAGAGAAUCAGUUAGAAAGGUAGUUCGUGAAGAAGAGAAAGAAGUUCUGUUGCUUGAUAAUGAUAGUGGUGGCUCUUACACUAUGGAGAUAAUGCUCCUUUCCAUGAAAGUGAUGACAACAGUUCAACAUGGUACGACGAGGGCGAACUACUAUGGACACCUUCGUUGCCACAAAAACUGAGGAUCGGUAUUGUUCUAUCCAAAGGUCAAUUACCUGGUGGGCACACUGUCGUACAUGGACCAUUCGGAUGAUGUUGUCCUAAGAUUAUCAUCUCUAAGUUUUCUUGAUGCUGUAUCAAAGACAUGCAUUGAGAGCUGAAGAAGCAUCUCAUCACUGCUAGCUAUGUUGAUGAUGAAACAUCCAUGCUACAUGAGAUGGCUAAGAAUGCCUCGAUAACGGUUCUUGGUGAAACGACAUCCCACAAUAGUGUGAAUCUCACUUGGCCUUUAGUGUGAAUCUCAACCCUCUUAAUAGUGUUCGUCAGAGGAAAAAUGUGCUGAACCCUAAGCCGCUUAUCCUGAUCUCAUGUUUUAGCUCUGUAAAGAAGUUGCACACAGUGUGAGAUUUCAGUUGCCAUAAACAUUUAAGAUAGAUCUUAAUCAAAAUAUUUUUUCUACAAUCGAAAGGCUGUAUCUCUUUAUUUAUUAUUAUUUUUUUUCUACAAGUGAUGAGAUGCUUUUUUUUUUGGCUGUAUCUCUUUAAUAUACUACAUAUGUACAUCUCUUUAAACUUUGGGGCCAUUACAGAUGCUUUAGGCUGUGAUCUGAAACCAACCGCAGAUUUGUUUUUGUGGUGAAUGAUAAGGAGCUUCUUAAGAUCUCGCUGGUCUUGGUCUUGGCCGUACUUUCACGGUAUACAAGAGCAAAAUUAUAUUCAUAUAAAAUUUCAACAUUAUAAUUUUUUAAAAUUGUAUUAAGCACUACAUAAUCCUCAUCAUCUUAUUCUAUAUACGAAAUUUAGUAAUAAAAUGUUUAAUAACCAAAAAGUUCUUUUUAAUCAAUAGUUCAUUUACAGUCUAGCAAAAGAUUUACAUCAAUCUAAAACUAUUUUAGCACACAAUAUAUAAUAUUAUCUAAAAUACAUAAACUUCAAAAAAAUAUAAGAAUAAAAAUGAAACUUUUUAUGAUAUUAUAUUUACACAUUUUAUCAAAUGCAAAUAAAAAGGGUAAAGCUGAUGAAUGAUUCCACCAUUUCAAAAUAAUAACAAAUAUUAAACAGAAUUAAAAAAAAAUCGCAAAGUGACAUGAGAAAUGCAUGAAAUAUAUGGAUUGUUAUGAACGGCAAACCGACAUUUAUGGAGCUGACAAAUGCUGGAGAUAGAUCAAACGUUCCUUAUGCAACAUCUAUAUAUUAAAAAAGAAGUGUUAUGGAACAAAUAUAAUCUUUAUAAUGCCACCAAGAAAACACCAUCUCAAUAAUAUGAAAAAUCGAUGUGUUGAUUGUUAUUACUAUAAACAAAUGGAGAAGUUCUUGAGUUGAUUUUACGAUGAGUAACAAAUGUCUACACUCAUCGACCACUACUCAGUUUUCACAUUGUUCAAUUUCAAUGUUUUGUUAUUUUGAUUAACUUUGCUUUACCUUCUUCACAUUACCUUAUUGCAUUAAAUAUAACAUUUUACAUUUAAUAAGAAAUGCAACUUCAAUAAUCACCACUUCCACUCCAAUAACAUGCAAAAAGAAUAUGGUUUCAACUUACUCUUAUAAGAUACACAAAAUAUUACCCCCAACUGAAGUCUUCCAAACCCAAAAUAUUACAAACCACAAAUAAUGCACCGAAUACGAGAUCAAAUUUUUGUAAAGGAAAAAACAUGAAGACCAUUCGAAGCCCUCACUCACAACAUAUCAAUGCCACAACUCUUAAAUAUAGAAAUAACUAUUGUAAAUACGCAAACUAUAUCUUAUCACAUAUAAUCCCUCUUCAAUUAAAACUUUCUAAAUGACAAAAAGCAUUAUCAUACGCAUCUACUGCAAAUGCAAACCUGAAACACAAACCAAAAAAAUCAUACAAAAAAUACUAAUAUAGAUCACAAGUAAAGUAUGUCCCGCCCGUAGGGUGGGCAGACCCUAGUAUAUAUAUAUAUAUAUAUAUUCGCUUCACUCCUGCUUUGCCACGUCAUAAAGUCGGUUCCUGACAGGCCGACACGUGUCCAGUUUAGAUGAUACUCAGUGUUUCACUUAAUCACAAUUAUUAAUGAGCUCUUCUCUUUUUGUUAAUAAAUAUUUCAGAUCAGUGUUUUGGGCUUAACAUAAUUGGGUUUCUGGGCUGUAGGGUAACACAUGAGGGGGUCCUACAUGAAACGGCUUCUUCUCCAAAAAUAAUGUCGACGAACGAGAGACAUAUCAUCUGUGUUUUAACAACUCCGGUUCAAACCUACGGCCAAUGAAGAUUUGCUGCACCGGCCACGCUGAAUUCCGAUCAAGAUCAGUUGGAAGGCGUCGUAUUUGGCUUUUCGAUUCCACUUCUUCUACCCUUAGUUGAAUUUUGGAACCGUUAUGGAAGUCGGUUGGAUUCAUGCAUCCUCAUUGACUAUCACAUUAAAUCAUUCAAUGAACCCCCUCAUUAAACAUUUUAACUCAAAUAUAACUAAUCUUAACAUAAAUAAUCCUUGGACACCCUAAAAUUCUCAAAACCCAUAAACAUUAUUAUAUACUUUUCUUAACAAUAUUUUACAAAAUAUACAUA